Molecule: ribosomal RNA, 496 nt
Filed under: uncultured bacterium
Lineage: Bacteria
Description: partial 16S ribosomal RNA
Rfam family: Bacterial small subunit ribosomal RNA
Source: RNAcentral
AUGAACGCUGGCGGCGUGCCUAAUACAUGCAAGUCGAGCGAACAGACGAGGAGUUUGCUCCUCUGACGUUAGCGGCGGACGGGUGAGUAACACGUGGAUAACCUACCUAUAAGACUGGGAUAACUUCGGGAAACCGGAGCUAAUACCGGAUAAUAUAUUGAACCGCAUGGUUCAAUAGUGAAAGACGGUUUUGCUGUCACUUGUAGAUGGAUCCGCGCCGCAUUAGCUAGUUGGUAAGGUAACGGCUUACCAAGGCAACGAUGCGUAGCCGACCUGAGAGGGUGAUCGGCCACACUGGAACUGAGACACGGUCCAGACUCCUACGGGAGGCAGCAGUAGGGAAUCUUCCGCAAUGGGCGAAAGCCUGACGGAGCAACGCCGCGUGAGUGAUGAAGGUCUUCGGAUCGUAAAACUCUGUUAUUAGGGAAGAACAAAUGUGUAAGUAACUAUGCACGUCUUGACGGUACCUAAUCAGAAAGCCACGGCUAACUACGUG